Long non-coding RNA from Dermacentor andersoni, 762 nucleotides. RefSeq lists it as uncharacterized. NCBI's taxonomy places the organism in Eukaryota, Metazoa, Arthropoda, Arachnida, Ixodida, Ixodidae. The record is from RefSeq and is a predicted model, not a curated record.
CAUUGCCAGUUCCAAUAUCAACCGGCCGGUCUUCAGUGAAGCUACGUGGACUUCAACGUAAUCUAAAAACGUUGGUGGACGUGAAGAGGCAGCUUUUUCGCGCAGUAAUUUAAGAAUUACUGGAGAUCACGCUGUGUAAGAAAAGAAUUAUGACGUGUCUAGCUAGCUCAACUGUAAUGAAUUCAUUUCAAAUUAUAAAGGUGGCGCAGGCGUCGAACAAGGCGACGAAGCGUUGACGAAGUCAGGAAAACAACAUGAAAUGCUGUUUCUGUUACAUUUCAAUCGGCAACGAGUGCUACGACUCCUAGUUAAACUGUUGAACGUUCUUCGGUUCUGCAAUCCAGUACAGGAGAAGAUCAAACGCCGUUGGUGUGUUCGCAAUGUACGUGUGACGGAUCGUAUGUGACCAUACAAACCGCCUAGCCAAAGUCCGGAUCGCAGUGAAUGUAUACGCGCCCUGGAAUCAGGAGGCAGCAGGAAUGACCAAAUGUGAGCUAAUAUGCUGUCACCCUCCAUCAAAACAGUGGUAGAGUGGCUGACAACACUGCCGUUCAAGAAUCAUCUGUGCCUCAAAGGCGUGGUGCUCUAACAUUGAGAAUGGCUGAAGAAAAGGAGUGGACUACAAUGCAUUAUGUGCACUUCGGUGUAUGCAGAAGCUGAACUGCUACAUGUGUUCAAGCUGUAUCCUAAAUUCUUAAAAAUAAAGGGGCAUGAUGUAAAGUCGCUUGUUCUGCUGCACAUAGGCAUAGCGGCAGAUGUCAU